This 484-nucleotide ribosomal RNA is filed under the name uncultured bacterium. RNAcentral's name for it is "partial 16S ribosomal RNA". It matches the Rfam family "Bacterial small subunit ribosomal RNA", at positions 30 to 507 of the family's 1533-position model. The record is from RNAcentral.
AUUGAACGCUGGCGGCAGGCCUAACACAUGCAAGUCGAGCGGAUGAAGGGAGCUUGCUCCUGGAUUCAGCGGCGGACGGGUGAGUAAUGCCUAGGAAUCUGCCUGGUAGUGGGGGAUAACGUCCGGAAACGGGCGCUAAUACCGCAUACGUCCUGAUGGAGAAAGUGGGGGAUCUUCGGACCUCACGCUAUCAUAUGAGCCUAGGUCGGAUUAGCUAGUUGGUGGGGUAAAGGCCUACCAAGGCGACGAUCCGUAACUGGUCUGAGAGGAUGAUCAGUCACACUGGAACUGAGACACGGUCCAGACUCCUACGGGAGGCAGCAGUGGGGAAUAUUGGACAAUGGGCGAAAGCCUGAUCCAGCCAUGCCGCGUGUGUGAAGAAGGUCUUCGGAUUGUAAAGCACUUUAAGUUGGGAGGAAGGGCAGUAAGUUAAUACCUUGCUGUUUUGACGUUACCAACAGAAUAAGCACCGGCUAACUUCGUG